AGAGUUUGAUCAUGGCUCAGAUUGAACGCUGGCGGCAGGCCUAACACAUGCAAGUCGAGCGGUAGCACAGAGAGCUUGCUCUCGGGUGACGAGCGGCGGACGGGUGAGUAAUGUCUGGGAAACUGCCUGAUGGAGGGGGAUAACUACUGGAAACGGUAGCUAAUACCGCAUAACGUCGCAAGACCAAAGUGGGGGACCUUCGGGCCUCAUGCCAUCAGAUGUGCCCAGAUGGGAUUAGCUAGUAGGUGGGGUAACGGCUCACCUAGGCGACGAUCCCUAGCUGGUCUGAGAGGAUGACCAGCCACACUGGAACUGAGACACGGUCCAGACUCCUACGGGAGGCAGCAGUGGGGAAUAUUGCACAAUGGGCGCAAGCCUGAUGCAGCCAUGCCGCGUGUGUGAAGAAGGCCUUCGGGUUGUAAAGCACUUUCAGCGGGGAGGAAGGCGUUAAGGUUAAUAACCUUGGCGAUUGACGUUACCCGCAGAAGAAGCACCGGCUAACUCCGUGCCAGCAGCCGCGGUAAUACGGAGGGUGCAAGCGUUAAUCGGAAUUACUGGGCGUAAAGCGCACGCAGGCGGUCUGUCAAGUCGGAUGUGAAAUCCCCGGGCUCAACCUGGGAACUGCAUUCGAAACUGGCAGGCUAGAGUCUUGUAGAGGGGGGUAGAAUUCCAGGUGUAGCGGUGAAAUGCGUAGAGAUCUGGAGGAAUACCGGUGGCGAAGGCGGCCCCCUGGACAAAGACUGACGCUCAGGUGCGAAAGCGUGGGGAGCAAACAGGAUUAGAUACCCUGGUAGUCCACGCCGUAAACGAUGUCGAUUUGGAGGUUGUGCCCUUGAGGCGUGGCUUCCGGAGCUAACGCGUUAAAUCGACCGCCUGGGGAGUACGGCCGCAAGGUUAAAACUCAAAUGAAUUGACGGGGGCCCGCACAAGCGGUGGAGCAUGUGGUUUAAUUCGAUGCAACGCGAAGAACCUUACCUGGUCUUGACAUCCACAGAACUUUCCAGAGAUGGAUUGGUGCCUUCGGGAACUGUGAGACAGGUGCUGCAUGGCUGUCGUCAGCUCGUGUUGUGAAAUGUUGGGUUAAGUCCCGCAACGAGCGCAACCCUUAUCCUUUGUUGCCAGCGGUUCGGCCGGGAACUCAAAGGAGACUGCCAGUGAUAAACUGGAGGAAGGUGGGGAUGACGUCAAGUCAUCAUGGCCCUUACGACCAGGGCUACACACGUGCUACAAUGGCAUAUACAAAGAGAAGCGACCUCGCGAGAGCAAGCGGACCUCAUAAAGUAUGUCGUAGUCCGGAUUGGAGUCUGCAACUCGACUCCAUGAAGUCGGAAUCGCUAGUAAUCGUAGAUCAGAAUGUUACGGUGAAUACGUUCCCGGGCCUUGUACACACCGCCCGUCACACCAUGGGAGUGGGUUGCAAAAGAAGUAGGUAGCUUAACCUUCGGGAGGGCGCUUACCACUUUGUGAUUCAUGACUGGGGUGAAGUCGUAACAAGGUAACCGUAGGGGAACCUGCGGUUGGAUCACCU
This 1528-nucleotide ribosomal RNA is filed under the name Klebsiella pneumoniae. RNAcentral describes it as "bacterial SSU rRNA". It matches the Rfam family "Bacterial small subunit ribosomal RNA". The record is from RNAcentral. Lineage: Bacteria; Pseudomonadati; Pseudomonadota; Gammaproteobacteria; Enterobacterales; Enterobacteriaceae.